Molecule: long non-coding RNA, 4198 nt
Organism: Ornithorhynchus anatinus (platypus)
Lineage: Eukaryota; Metazoa; Chordata; Mammalia; Monotremata; Ornithorhynchidae
Exons: 5
Source: RefSeq, a predicted model, not a curated record
AGCCACUUUCCCUAUCCACAACGAGCUUACAGUCUAGAGGGGGGGAGUCAGAAAUAUAAAUAAAUUAUGGAUGUGGAGAAGAGUGUACAUAAAGGGGGAAAAUCCCAGUGCAAGGGUGAUGCAGAAGGGAGUGGGAGAAGAGGAAAUAAGGGCUUAGUUAGGGAAGGCCUUUUGGAGGAGAUGUGCUUUUAAUGGAGUGGACAGCUCCCUUAGGUGUUUUUAAGAGAAACCUGAAGGUAAAAUUACUGCUUGGUUUUUGGGGGCGUGGGAUUUCACAAGGGACUGUUUUAAACCAAAAUGCAAUCUAUUCUUCUUAUAGAAUUAAAACAGUGCUUUUUCAUUUUACUUUUCCAGGAUCCUUCAGCAUUGUGAAAAUGGGAUGAAAGCUCUCUACCUCUUGUGGGUUCCUGAGGGGCUUAGCAUGCCAAUAAGCUUCCCUUUUUUGUUCCUCUUCCUUUUUCUCCUCUCUUCAAAAAAAAAAAAGGUGCUCUGCAGAUCGAUGAGAGGGAAAGGAUGGGCUUUUGGUAGUUGAAUAAAAAACUGUCUUUGCAGUGAUAUGUGGGACCGGAUAGGACGAAUACACUUUCUCUCCUGAAACAUUAUUGGUUUUGUCCUAAAAGAUAUUUGUUUCUAAUGUAUGCAGGUGGCACAUUUAAAGCGUUCUUUUUCCCUCAAGUGCAAUCGUUCACAAACACAGAUGGCUUUUGUUUAAUCGUAAAGCGGAAUGACGUCCAGGUGCUCGCUCGCAGUUAUAGACCUGGGAGCGAGUUUAGAGAUCCCCGCAGUCCCAGAAACCUUCACCGAAAAAUCAGUUUUCCUAAAGUGGUAAGUAGAGGGAAAAGAGUGGUAAUGUGUAUUUUUCUUCCCAAGCUCUUGAAUCAAAGUUGGUCAGAAGUGAAAUGUUCUUUGUGAUUUGCAGAAAAUGCUUCCUUAUUUGUACUGAUGAUCAGCGUAUGCAUCUGAUGUCAGGGUGGGUAAAUAAGAAUUAGGAGGUGGAUAGAAAGCAUUACCAGGCAUCUAUUUAUUUACCCUGGUGUGUUUCUCACUCUUCUGCAUGCAGACUGCUGUUAUGAUAACCCUUUGGAAUGUUACUUCUUUUCAAAGUAAGCAUUCUCCUUUCUGUGAUGUUAUGGAAUUUAGGAUUUAAAAAAAAAACGGACAACAGCUAAACCUCCUUCCUCAAGUUUGCAUGAUACUUGCUGUGUGGAUAGUAGUGGUCUCGCCAAUAAAUCCCCCCCACUUUUUUACGUAGUGAUAGGUGAAAGCGAACUUCAAGUGUAAUUCGGUACGCAAGAGGUUCGUACCGUGAAAAAAGAACCUUACUGAAGACUUGCUGGAAUCCUUGUCUAGUACCUACAAGGGUUGAUGUCCGUUAGGCAGUUUCAAGAAGCCGGUGAAGCUGAAGAUAAAUGUGAUGCCCUUUUCCAGUGAGCAGGUGACUCUCCUCAUCUGCUUGCUUACACUCCCACUUGGGAGCAUUUGUUCCUGUGACAGAGCCCUUUCUGUGAGUGAUCGCUGAGAAAAAUCUGAAAUCCUCCACUUUUCCACCCUGUAGCACACUCUGUUUUGUUGGGACAUAUUGACUGUAAAAGUACUACCCCCGCUAAAGAGAUGUAUUGAUUUCUGACCUUCACGUGUCUUAAAAAUGUGUUUACGAGCCACGAGUUACUUUGUAGAACAAAACGUUCCCGGCCGUAUUCUGAAGACUCCCUUGGAAUUCACCGCAAAAGACCACAUUUGUCAUCGUCGGCUGAAGAUGUGUGUGAUUUCACUCUGGAAUUUUAGGCAGGGUUCGAUUUGUUCCGGAGGUAUUCAUGUUGAGAGAAACGUCUGCUCCUUAAAAGAUACCGAGAUCCCUUUUGCCUUCCGGUUUGAACGUUCCGGCAUAGAGGAGCGAUGGAUGGCAUUUUAAAAAGACGAACAGUCGAAGAGGAAACGCCUCCACAAGUCCCACAGAACAAAAGAAUGGAAAGUUGAGGUUGCGCUUGGGCAUCAGUUGGACAAAUUGCCUAUUUUAAGGCACAGAUGAGGUAACAGGCCUGGAGGAGUGAAGUGACUUGCCUAAGACCGCACAGCAGACAAGUAGCGGAGCCGGGAUUUGUCACCUGUCUCUCUCGCUUAACCCCGCGGCUGCUGCUCGCAUUCCAGGGGGAAUUAGGACUUUGGAACAGCCCAGGCCGUGCCACUAAGCAACCCUGGUCGAGCAGGGGAGUGGAUCCGGGCAGCUGGAAGCCCUUUUGGGAUCACUAGACUUCUCGCAGUUGUCGGAUCUCCAACCCCUCAGCGGCGACACAGUGGCCGGGGUCGUCAACAGAGAGAGGAAAGAGCCCUGGGGACGGGGUUAAGAUUGUCCUCCUCUUCCCUACUGCGUGAACCUCAAAAGGGGUCACCCCCAGCACAUCUGUGGGGUCCUGGCUUUUGAACUUCCUCUGCACCAGCAGCGUACCACAGGAGUCUCAUCUAGCAGCACGAGACAAAUGCUGCCUAAAUGUCACCCGGAGAGGCGAAGUUAAUUCUCGGCUGCAAGAAAAUCAGGCCCUGCCCAGUUUUCAAAACGUAGUCGAUGGUGAACGCUUUCUGAUGUGCAGUCUUGUUUUCUUCUCAACUCACGUGAGGGAUCACAGGCUUUCAUGGGCCUAUGGACGGGUUCAUGGCCCUAAGGAAAUUGAAUAACUUCCAGUCAUCCUUGAUAUUUUCUCACCAGAUUUCCCUUGGGAACUUGUUUGUCUCUGCUCUGCGGCAGGUGGAUAUUCAGCGAGGCCCCCGGGAAAGGAAAGCAGCUGACUCGGAGGGAAGAUUACCCGUUUCUUCUCUAGAAUGGGUUCUGUUCAGUCAACGGUGUUUAUUGAGUGCAGAACACUCUCCUAAGCACUUGGAAGAGUACAACACAACACAGUUGGCACACACAUUAACCAGAGUACACGUCCAACCCAGAAGCAAUAAUCAAUCGUGUUGGUUGAGCACCUACUCCAGGCAGAACACUAAACUGAGCACUUGGAAGGGUACAAAAGUUUGUAGUUAGCGGUCCCUGCCCUCAGGGAGCCUUAUGGUCUGUAUUGCUAGCCAUCUGUACAAAGUUAACUGACCUCAGGGGACAUUUUUGUCCCUGAUUAUUCGAAGAGCCUGUCACUUCAGAAAAACCAGGCCUAGAAAUGGAUCCAUGGGUGCCCACCCCACUGCAGUGGCGGGGAAGCUCACCGAAACUCAGCCUCAGCAGAGGCUUUGGCACCGUGCCCUUCUGUCCGGCCGGAGCAAGUCUCACCGAGCAAGCAGAUCUGGAAAAGCCAGAUCGUGGCUAAAAUAAAAUGGGAGAGAGAUCGGUGCUAAUGAAAAGAAAGUCACUCAUCCAGCCGAGUGCAUAAUGUCAAAAGCCAGUGGUGCCUGUAGUUUUUCUUAGCCCUUUGGCCUUUGAGCAACCAAAAGCGGGUUCGAUAUUCAGCUGCUGCUGCUGAAUACAGUCUUUCAGUUGUGAUGAUUUGCUGCCCCAAGACCCCAAAGCCAAAUGAAGGGCAAUAUUCUGGGCAUAUAAAGAAAUCCACGAGCUCUUCUCGAGCACGUAUUUUAGCUCACGACAGGAUUUCUUGUUGAGGCUUCUUGUUUUUUUCCAUCCCCUUUAGGUUCUGGGGUCUUUGCUCAUUCCCUGCAUCUGGAGACCCUGUCCUCAGAUUGGGCUCCAACCUCCCUCUGUCAGCCGGGCUGCCUUCCUGACUCCUGCAACCUUUCUCUGCCGCUCCCCUGGACCCGCUGGUGUCCCUAUUUCUCUAGCUGCUGGGCUUUCUGUUGCCUCCCGGGAGCCCACUUCUUUUUUCCUCCUGACAAACUAUUUGUCUCGUGAUUUUUUUGGGUCGGGGAGGGUUGCUAUGCACGGAGUAUGUGGGAGCCUGCAUUUUGCCUCACGGUGUUUUUGUAUUGUGAGGCCCAGGCCUCUUGCAGUGUUGGCUUCGGGAAAAACAAUCUCUAUGUUCUCCCCACAUGACUCAUCCCACACAUUUUUUUUUUUCCACCUCCUCUCACCUCAGUUUUUUUUCCUCUUCCUGGUCUUUCCAGCUUCUAAGACCCGGCCCUUUUGGCAAUUCCUUCCAGUUCCUGAUCCCAGUUAACCAAGAAGUCAGUGCCCUGAGACCCUGGCUUUCCUCUGGGGGUUCGGGGCUAGUGAGUAACCUAGCCGUGGUUAGGCCGGGUGAGAAAGGGGAGUUUU